AGUAACCUGCCUUGGAGUGGGGAAUAACAGUUGGAAACAGCUGCUAAUACCGCAUAAUAUGUCUGUGUCGCAUGGCACUGGGCAUCAAAGAUUUAUCGCUCUGAGAUGGACUCGCGUCUGAUUAGCUAGUUGGCGGGGUAACGGCCCACCAAGGCGACGAUCAGUAGCCGGACUGAGAGGUUGGCCGGCCCACAUUGGGACUGAGACACGGCCCAGACUCCUACGGGAGGCAGCAG
This 236-nucleotide ribosomal RNA is filed under the name uncultured bacterium. Its description in RNAcentral is "partial 16S ribosomal RNA". It matches the Rfam family "Bacterial small subunit ribosomal RNA", at positions 120 to 354 of the family's 1533-position model. The record is from RNAcentral.